Molecule: small RNA, 125 nt
Filed under: Marmota monax (woodchuck)
Lineage: Eukaryota; Metazoa; Chordata; Mammalia; Rodentia; Sciuridae
Source: RNAcentral
GCUGGGCGUGGUGGCGCACUUCUGUAAUCCCAGUGGCUCAGGAGGCUGAAGCAGGAGGAUGGAGAGUUCAAAGCCAGCCUCAGUAAAAGCAAGGUGCUAAGCAACUCAGUGAGAUCCUGUCUCUA